AUUGAACGCUGGCGGCAGGCUUAACACAUGCAAGUCGAGCGGGGGAAGGUAGCUUGCUACCGGUCCUAGCGGCGUUCGGGUGAGUAAUGCUUAGGAAUCUGGCUAUCAGUGGGGGACAACAUCUCGAAAGGGAUGCUAAGACCUCAUACGUCCUAUGGCAGCAAGCAGGGGGUCUUCGGACCUUGCGCUAAUAGAGGAGCCGAAGGCGGAUUAGCUAGUUGGGGGGGUUAAGGCCUACCAAGGCGACGAUCUGUAGCGGGUCUGAGAGGAGGCACCGCCACACUGGGACUGAGACACGGCCCAGACUCCUACGGGAGGCAGCAGUGGGGAAUAUUGGACAAUGGGGGGAACCCUGAUACAGCCAUGCCGCGUGUGUGAAGAAGGCCUUAUGGUUGUAAAGCACUUUAAGCGAGGAGGAGGCUACUCUAGUUAAUACCUAGGGAUAGUGGACGUUACUCGCAGAAUAAGCACCGGCUAACUCUGUGCCAGCAGCCGCCGUAA
RNAcentral lists this ribosomal RNA (501 nucleotides) under uncultured bacterium. Its description in RNAcentral is "partial 16S ribosomal RNA". It matches the Rfam family "Bacterial small subunit ribosomal RNA", at positions 30 to 523 of the family's 1533-position model. The record is from RNAcentral.